GACAACCCUAGAGAUAGGGCUUUUCCUUUCGGGGACAGAGUGACAGGUGGUGCAUGGUUGUCGUCAGCUCGUGUCGUGAGAUGUUGGGUAAAGUCCCGCAACGAGCGCAACCCUUGAUCUUAGUUCCCAGCAUUCAGUUGGGCACUCUAAGGUGACUGCCGGUGACAAACCGGAGGAAGGUGGGGAUGACGUCAAAUCAUCAUGCCCCUUAUGACCUGGGCUACACACGUGCUACAAUGGACAGAACAAAGGGCUGCGAGACCGCAAGGUUUAGCCAAUCCCACAAAUCUGUUCUCAGUUCGGAUCGCAGUCUGCAACUCGACUGCGUGAAGCUGGAAUCGCUAGUAAUCGCGGAUCAGCAUGCCGCGGUGAAUACGUUCCCGGGCCUUGUACACACCGCCCGUCACACCACGAGAGUUUGCAACACCCGAAGUCGGUGAGGUAACCUUUAUGGGGCCAGCCGCCGAAGGUGGGGCAGAUGAUUGGGGUGAAGUCGUAACAAGGUAGCCGUAUCGGAAGGUGCGGCUGGAUCACCUCCUU
RNAcentral lists this ribosomal RNA (540 nucleotides) under Bacillus sp. MP5. RNAcentral's name for it is "bacterial SSU rRNA". It matches the Rfam family "Bacterial small subunit ribosomal RNA", at positions 993 to 1532 of the family's 1533-position model. Lineage: Bacteria; Bacillati; Bacillota; Bacilli; Caryophanales; Bacillaceae. The record is from RNAcentral.